GAUGAAGAACGUAGCGAAAUGCGAUAAGUAGUGUGAAUUGCAGAAUUCAGUGAAUCAUCGAAUCUUUGAACGCACCUUGCGCCCUUUGGCUAUUCCAGAGGGCAUGCCUGUUUGAGUAUCAUGAACACCUCAACUCUCAUGGUUCUGCCAUGAUGAGCUUGGACUUUGGAGGUCUUGCUGGCCCCUGUGGUCAGCUCCUCUCAAAUGGAUCAGCUUGCCAGUGUUUGGUGGCAUCACAGGUGUGAUAACUAUCUACGCUUGUGGUUUUCCACCAGGUAACCUUCAGUGAUGGAGGUUCGCUGGAGCUCAUAAACGUCUCUCCUCAGCGAGGACAGCUUCUUGAACGUUUGAUCUCAAAUCAGGUAGGGCUACCCGCUGAACUUAAGCAUAUCAAUAAGCGGAGGA
This 405-nucleotide unclassified non-coding RNA is filed under the name soil metagenome. Its description in RNAcentral is "partial contains 5.8S ribosomal RNA, internal transcribed spacer 2, and large subunit ribosomal RNA". The stretch from base 1 to 121 matches the Rfam family "5.8S ribosomal RNA", at positions 35 to 154 of the family's 154-position model. The record is from RNAcentral.